CCGGUGAUCUAGCCAUGGGCAGGUUGAAGGUUGGGUAACACUAACUGGAGGACCGAACCGACUAAUGUUGAAAAAUUAGCGGAUGACUUGUGGCUGGGGUGAAAGGCCAAUCAAACCGGGAGAUAGCUGGUUCUCCCCGAAAGCUAUUUAGGUAGCGCCUCGUGAACUCAUCUUCGGGGUAGAGCACUGUUUCGGCUAGGGGUCAUCCCGACUUACCAACCCGAUGCAAACUACGAAUACCGAAGAAUGUUAUCACGGGAGACACACGGCGGGUGCUAACGUCCGUCGUGAAGAGGGAAACAACCCAGACCGCCAGCUAAGGUCCCAAAGUCAUGGUUAAGUGGGAAACGAUGUGGGAAGGCACAGACAGCCAGGAU
Molecule: ribosomal RNA, 377 nt
Filed under: Klebsiella pneumoniae
Lineage: Bacteria; Pseudomonadati; Pseudomonadota; Gammaproteobacteria; Enterobacterales; Enterobacteriaceae
Description: bacterial LSU rRNA
Rfam family: Bacterial large subunit ribosomal RNA
Source: RNAcentral